This is a long non-coding RNA of Vombatus ursinus (common wombat), 923 nucleotides long. RefSeq lists it as uncharacterized. The transcript has 3 exons. Lineage: Eukaryota; Metazoa; Chordata; Mammalia; Diprotodontia; Vombatidae. The record is from RefSeq and is a predicted model, not a curated record.
ACAGUGUCAAAGUUCUAUUUAUUGCCAGUCUAGCAGAGGGAACAAAGGGGAAGUAAGUAAAUUAUGUAAUGAAAAAAAAUUCACAUAAAAUGAGCAUGACUUCUUGGUUUCCACAAGCUCAACUAUAUUCUCUUCUUUUUGAAUUAUAGGCUUUUCAACAUUUGGUGACAAUUCUUCAAAUUCAUUAGUUAAAAGAGGAAAAUGAAUAGUGUUGGAGAACCUGCAGGAAAGACACAGAGAUGACAAGAGUGAUCUGCCACCCUUCAGAAGUCUAACAUUAUGGGAGAAUACCCAACUUGUCAAUUCGAUUCAAUGAAUAGCAAGCACUCCAAGUCUAGGACUCUUUUCAUCAGGCCAUAAACCUAAGGACAAACAUGCAGUGACAGAAAAGACAGACGUGUCUUAGACCAGAGAAUUUAAAUCUAGAGUUGGCUAUAGUGGGGAAAAUCAGCGAUGGAAGGCAAUGACCACCCAGUGGGAUCAAGACAGAGGAAGAAAGAGUCUUCUAAAAUGGCCUGAGUGCUUAUGGAGAAGGAAAAGCUACCAAUACUUGGCGUAAUAAUUGACAGAUGACCGACAAACCUUGCCUUUUUACUUUUCCUCCUUCAGUAGUCACGGUCAUAGGAUCAGGGUCAAAGUUGUGAAGAAAUAUAGUCAUCUCAUUCUUUGAGAAGCUGGCAAGCAUUUUAUUUGUUUGGGGAUUACGGGUUGGUCAUGUCAAAGCUGCUUAAAGCCUUAUCGUUAGAAAUACCCUUCAAAAUGUUUCAGGAUUCUGACACCUUUGGUAAUUAAAGUUAUUAAUUUUCCUUGUAACAAAAGAUCUAAUAUUGGGAGUGUCACUAGAGUGCACUAUCUGCACUACUCUAAAACACAAGGUGCAGAGGGACAUUUUCACACAACAGAUUGUUUGGCGGUGACUGAAA